Molecule: unclassified non-coding RNA, 329 nt
Filed under: soil metagenome
Description: partial contains 5.8S ribosomal RNA, internal transcribed spacer 2, and large subunit ribosomal RNA
Rfam family: 5.8S ribosomal RNA (bases 1-120)
Source: RNAcentral
GAUGAAGAACGCAGCGAAAUGCGAUAAGUAAUGUGAAUUGCAGAAUUCAGUGAAUCAUCGAAUCUUUGAACGCACAUUGCGCCCCCUGGUAUUCCGGGGGGCAUGCCUGUCCGAGCGUCAUUACAACCCUCAAGCUCAGCUUGGUGUUGGGCCCCGCCGCCCCGGCGGGCCCUAAAGUCAGUGGCGGUGCCGUCCGGCUCCGAGCGUAGUAAUUCUUCUCGCUCUGGAGGUCCGGUCGUGUGCUCGCCAGCAACCCCCAAUUUUUUUCAGGUUGACCUCGGAUCAGGUAGGGAUACCCGCUGAGCUUAAGAAUAUCAAUAAGCGGAGGA